GACGAACGCUGACGGCGUGCCUAACACAUGCAAGUCAAGGGGCCUUCGGGUCACUGGCGCACGGGUGAGUAACGCGUAGAUUAUCUGCCCAUAUCUCUGACAUAACUGCUGGAAACGGUAGCUAAUAUCAGAUGAGGCCUACGGGUCAAAGUUUUAAUGGAUAUGGAUGAGUCUGCGUCUGAUUAGCUAGUUGGUAGUGUAAUGGACUACCAAGGCAACGAUCAGUAACUGGUCUGAGAGGACGAUCAGUCACACUGGAACUGAGACACGGUCCAG
This 276-nucleotide ribosomal RNA is filed under the name uncultured bacterium. RNAcentral describes it as "partial 16S ribosomal RNA". It matches the Rfam family "Bacterial small subunit ribosomal RNA", at positions 28 to 334 of the family's 1533-position model. The record is from RNAcentral.